Molecule: long non-coding RNA, 503 nt
Organism: Syngnathus acus (greater pipefish)
Lineage: Eukaryota; Metazoa; Chordata; Actinopteri; Syngnathiformes; Syngnathidae
Exons: 2
Source: RefSeq, a predicted model, not a curated record
GCGCUGAAAUGAAGUUAGGAGACAUUGCCACCAGAUGUCAGUGUUCGUCCGCAAGCUUUAACAACUCUAUGUUUGGGGCAUCACAACAAACACCCUCCAGCUGUCUUUUGGUUUAGCCCAGCAGAAGAUUCUGGCACGUUGCAGCAGCUGUCAGCGCUGUUUAAGGCAAAGGGGGCACGAAGGCUGUGGACAACACGUCUUUGCAUUAUUAUGUCAACGAGUCGGCACCAGUACAUUUUAAUUUGAAUCCAAUGUAUAAUGUUUGUGAAAAUGUCCGCGUGGUGCACACCACAGCCUCUGUGCUCAAUAUCCAGAAAUUAAUUGCGGUCUCAGGACAAAAGGAUACAACAGAUACCCCAUUGAUGGAGAUGCGCACAGUCACUCGAUCUUUCAGCUUGCACGGUUCAUGCCGAAAUAUCCUCUCGCGCAAAUGGCUGUUGAUGGACUUGAGUGGCAGGAUUAACUUUCCUAGCAUGGGACAGCUCAUCAGAAUUGUCACAGAA